GCGGAUCUAUGGUUUGCUGGGAUUGCCUCCCAGCCGGAAAAUAAAAAGCUCUGUGGCUGGUAGGAAGAGUGUUUACAGCGGGUGAGAACAACUGUCCAGAGGUGGCUUCCCUGGAAGAAGGGAAGUGAAGACCCAGUGGGAUGAGAGCUCCACACAAGACCCAAGAACAGGAAGGAGGGACUGGCUGGCUGCAGGUGGCAGCUACAUUAAAGAUCCUGGAGGGAGCAGAGGGCAUCGGCUGCCAGUAGAGAAGCCCUGGUUUCUGGGGAAAAACUGGGCAGAAGACCCUGAGAGAGAUUCAUCCCCCAACGGAGAAGCCGUAGACGUUUCAGCUGAGCAGGAGAAAAUUCAAGCCACACUGAGCAUUCUAUCUUACAGGUACCAGGUCAGGAUGGCUGCAUAUCUUCUUUGGCCCAGAGUGGAGACUAAUCGUUAUUAUUUUAUCUAUUGUGAAAAUGAGAUGGCUGAAUAUACUUCUACUAGUGAUUCUUGCUUUGCAUUUAUACUGAAAGCUAAUUAUCUUCCAAAUGUAGUUUUUGUUUUGUGUGAAACCAUCUGUUAGUAAAUCCAGAUGUGCUGGCAAUUAGCGAACCGAACCUCAAGCAGCUCUAUAUAAAUUUAGCUUGCUUUCUCUCUCUCUAAUAAUGUGGUUACAGCAGCUGGAACUGUCUGUUCAAUUAAAAACAUUGUUUGGCUUAAGAACACAUGAAUGUACUUGCCAAGCUGAGGUUUUUUAAUGCAGUCUGCCUCUGGCAAUGCUAAUUCUGUGAUGAUUGUGCUCUCUCUGGUUAUUGAUAAAUUAUUACAGUAGUAUUUCUAAUCAAUGCCAGUUAUUACAAAACUUAUAUCAUGUGACACAGCCAUUUUCUCCCUUUUGCUAGUUAAUUUUAUCUUUCCUUGGAGCUCUUAAAAUUGUUUGGGGCCUGUUCAGCUAUGAUGAAACAUAGGUGCAACAUCACAAUUUAUUUAGAAAUUUAGAACAGUAACUUAGCCUGGUCCCCAUUUAAAAAAAAAAAAUGGGGAAGUUUGUUGAAACACAUAGUAAUGGAUCUAUAAUCCAUCUCAACCCCAAUUGGAGGGGCUUUUGUAGAAAGCAAUGAGGGAAAUUCAUUUGGACCAAAGAGUUUUCCAGUGGUAGUGAAUUUAAGCAGUUACCAUAUUUCUUACAACACCAUAAAGAAGGCCGAGCGCCGAAGAAUUGAUACCUUCGAACUGUGGUGCUGGAGAAGACUCUUGA
Molecule: non-coding RNA, 1237 nt
Organism: Python bivittatus (Burmese python)
Lineage: Eukaryota; Metazoa; Chordata; Lepidosauria; Squamata; Pythonidae
Source: RefSeq, a predicted model, not a curated record